UUAUCAGCAUUCAGUUUGCACCUUUUGCCAUCAUACAUCAGACUCCGCUUCAACCAUUUAGACGACGAGGUCUAUGCUGGGGAUUUUUUGGUUCUCUGGCCAAUUGCCGGCCCCAGGAUCGCUCCUUCUCUGCCAAACACCGCUGCCAAGCUCCAGUCUUCGUCACGGCCACUGCUCUCUGCUCGUCCAGCCACACGCUUUCCACGACACCUAGGCUUAACCUCUCCUCAACCGGCAUCACUUCCAAUUUUUCCCUGGCAUCUUCUUAUCUUUCUGCUGUGCCAACAACUCCUCAAAUUGGAAAUUAAACGUAUUUAAGACAGAGACAAAUGCUGAUUAAUUCCGACGCUCCAUCCUUCAUGGUCAGCCCUUUCGAUGCCCCGCAUUCUCAGUUUUGCAUUAGCCAUUGGAGUGGCUACUUGGGAAAUUCUGGGGUUUGGUUAGCUGAACAGCCAAUCAGAGUGAUCCGUCUCAGAAAGCUGCCGACAGGGUCUGAAUUGUACCAUUGGUGCAAAACACACACUAAAAACUAAGCCGACAGAUGCUCAACGCAGACCCAACAUUAGGCGACCUUCGGCUUGAUGUGUCAUGGCCGUAAGAUUGCCAAAUACAGUACAGAACAUCAAAGCGCAUGGAGACUGGGCUGUUUUAAGACGGAACGGGUGUUUCUCUUUAAAACACUGUCCAAACAGAUCCAAGGACUCCGGCGUGAAUGGAUGCUCUGUUUGCUUGUAUGCAUUAGUCUUGGUUUGCAUGCUCUACUGGGUUAGUGUGGUGCCAUUGGCAGAAGGAAUGCAGGAGGACCUAAAGGAAACACUUAUGGAAUGUGAAGGGCUGAAUGACAUCAUGUGAGUCGUCAAGGGCUGGAAGAAGCUAAAGUUGCCCUGGUUUUACAUCUCAUUUACGCAAAACUGAAAAGAGCCAUUGUACAGCCACAAUGUGUAAGGUGUGUGUGUGUGUGUGUGUGUGUGUGUGUGUGGAAAAGCCUAUGCAUUUGCCCUCAGGACAGAUCAAGCCACAUUAGUCUAGUGCCCUCAUCAGUGAAAGUAGUUCAGCCGUGAGGUCAGUGCACAUGCUAU
Carassius gibelio (silver crucian carp) is the source of this 1079-nucleotide long non-coding RNA. RefSeq lists it as uncharacterized. The transcript has 2 exons. Lineage: Eukaryota; Metazoa; Chordata; Actinopteri; Cypriniformes; Cyprinidae. The record is from RefSeq and is a predicted model, not a curated record.